GAGUAUGUGCCAAAUCUACUAGACAUUGGAGAAACAGUAGGAACAACACAUGGUACCGGCACAUGGAUCUUUCAGGAAAACGAAGUAGGUAAUAAACAGGAAAAAGCCCGAGUCUGAUGCUAAGAAGAACAUAAACAGGAUGCUGAGAGAUUGGGUCUCUCCACAUUGCCCCGGCUGCUCUCCAACCCCUGAGUUCAAGUGAUUCACCUCCCUUGGCCUCCCAAAGUACUGGGAUUACAGGCGUGAGCCACCGUGCCUGGCUGAGAAGAUGGAUUUAAGACAUAUUUUGGAGGUAACAUUGUCAGGACUUCCUGAAGGAUUAGAUGUGGAAGGGAAGGAUAAGAAACAGACCAAGGAUAACUUUCAAAUGUAUGCUUAAGCAACUGGAUGGAUAAUGAUGCCAUUGAGUGAGUGAAAAACUUGAUGGAAGUGGAAGAUUCAGAGUUCAUUUCUAUCUAGGUUAAUUUGAGACAUACCAGAGCAUAAGUUAAGUAAGUAAUUGAAUAUUGGAGUGGAGACUUAUUUGUCUACCGAAUUAUUGUUUUCUUUGUCGGACAUACACCUACACUGCAUUCCUCAAAGUAAAAUUUAAGUGUGGCUCUGUGCCUAUGCUCUCCCCAGCGGAAAGUGACCAGAAGAGGUGUGCAGUUUCCAGGCCUGGCCCAUACAGACCUCCAACAGGUGCUCCCCUGUGCUGUUACUCCUUCUGCCAACUGGAAGCAGAUGGUGACCAGGCUCUGGAGAAGGCAAGGCCUGAAGAUGGGAGAUUCCUAAGUGGAGGAGAACUGUGCCUUACUGACCUAAAUAUCCACUCAGUAUUGUUAUGUGAGAAUAAAUAAACUUGUGUUGACC
This 852-nucleotide long non-coding RNA is filed under the name Homo sapiens (human). Its description in RNAcentral is "HSALNT0370502". Lineage: Eukaryota; Metazoa; Chordata; Mammalia; Primates; Hominidae. The record is from RNAcentral.